AAAUGUAGUCCCCGCCCGCCCCCCCUUCUCUGUGGCGCUUCCGGAUACCCUUCGGAGGCUGGCGUUCUUCCCUGUUCCGGUUCGGUUUCUCUGUCCCGCAGAAGCUCGAGCCGAUGCGGCGGAAAUCCUGCCUUCGCACUGCGUCGCCCUCAGCUGUUUCAAAAUGCCACAUCCGCUUCCCGCGAGAGGGACCCUCAGUGGUCUUUUCAGGGGUGUGGUAACGUGACUGGUGUGACUUGGAGCACGGGGGUGUAAUUUUUUUGCUCCUGGUUGCUUACUGACUUUGAGGUCAAGGAUGUGAAAGCAAAUGUCGUUUAGGUAAUAAAGACUACCGCUUUACUGAGUGCCUGGUGUUUGCCAAGGCAGUGUCACAUAUUCCAAACGCUAUAGGGUGUUUACGAAUGAGGAAAUGGAGGUCUACGGUAACGGAUCUGCCCAAGAACCCACAAUUUAGUAGUGUGGAUUUCCAAUCAAGGAGAAUAGCUUGAGAAAGAAAAUUGAGAUUAUUCAGAUGAAGGUAUUUAAAAGUAGCUCAUUCAUAUAGCUGUGCUGGUUCAGAUUUGGUAACUCCUACUGAAACACAAUGAUGAAUAUGAUGAAUUAGUUCCUAAGCUGCCUUCCAUUUAUGUGAACAACCUAUAAUUCUACCUAAAAUAUAUAAAAAGGUAAACAUUUAAAAAUCUAACAUAGAUAAAAAGACAAAAUGAGAAAAAAAAUACCCUUGAGAGUGAUUUGGAAAUGCCAUCUAUUAUGAAUUGAAUGUUUGUGUCCCCAAAAUUUGUAUGUUGAGGCCCUAACCUCAAUGUGACUUUAUUUCGAGACAGAGCCUGUGAUAAAGGUUAAAUGAGAUCAUAAGGGUGGAAAUCUAAUCUACUAGGGCUAGUCCCCUUACAAGAAGAGGAAGAAACACCAUAGCUCUUUCCCUCCACUAUAUGAGGACAUACCAAAAGGUGGCCACCUGUAAGCCAGGAGGAGAACUCUCACCAGAAACCACAUUGGCCAGCAACUUGAUCUUGGACUCCCCAGCCUCUAGAAGUAUGAGAAAUAAACUUCCAUUGGUUAAGCCA
Leopardus geoffroyi (Geoffroy's cat) is the source of this 1067-nucleotide long non-coding RNA. RefSeq lists it as uncharacterized. The record is from RefSeq and is a predicted model, not a curated record. Lineage: Eukaryota; Metazoa; Chordata; Mammalia; Carnivora; Felidae. The transcript has 2 exons.